AUUGAACGCUGGCGGCGUGCUUAACACAUGCAAGUCGAACGAAGUGGCGAACGGGUGAGUAACGCGUAAUCAACCUGCCCUUCAGAGGGGGAUAACAGUUGGAAACGACUGCUAAUACCGCAUACUGAAGGAGGUGUUUGCGUCUGAUUGGCUAGUUGGGGGGGUAACGGCCCACCAGGGCGAUGAUCAGUAGGCGGUCUUGGAGGAAGGACCGCCACAUUGGGACUGAGGCACGGCCCAAGCUCCUAAGGGAAGCAGCAAGGGGGAAUCAUCCGAAAAGGGCGGAAGUCUUACGGAGCAACGCCGCGUGAGAGAUGACGGCCUUCGGGUUGUAAAAGUAUUUUAAGCGGGACGCGGUACCGGAAUAAAAAGCCACGGCUAACUACGUGCCAGCCGCCGCGGUAAUUC
RNAcentral lists this ribosomal RNA (408 nucleotides) under uncultured bacterium. RNAcentral describes it as "partial 16S ribosomal RNA". It matches the Rfam family "Bacterial small subunit ribosomal RNA", at positions 30 to 526 of the family's 1533-position model. The record is from RNAcentral.